Molecule: ribosomal RNA, 433 nt
Filed under: uncultured bacterium
Lineage: Bacteria
Description: partial 16S ribosomal RNA
Rfam family: Bacterial small subunit ribosomal RNA
Source: RNAcentral
AACGAACGCUGGCGGCAUGCCUAACACAUGCAAGUCGAACGAGACCUUCGGGUCUAGUGGCGCACGGGUGCGUAACGCGUGGGAACCUGCCCUUAGGUUCGGAAUAACUCCCCGAAAGGGGUGCUAAUACCGGAUAAUGUCUUCGGACCAAAGAUUUAUCGCCUUUGGAUGGGCCCGCGUUGGAUUAGCUAGUUGGUAGGGUAAAAGCCUACCAAGGCGACGAUCCAUAGCUGGUCUGAGAGGAUGAUCAGCGACACUGGGACUGAGACACGGCCCAGACUCCUACGGGAGGCAGCAGUGGGGAAUAUUGGACAAUGGGGGAAAGCCUGAUCCAGCAAUGCCGCGUGAGUGAUGAAGGCCUUAGGGUUGUAAAGCUCUUUUAACCGGGAUGAUAAUGACAGUACCGGGAGAAUAAGCUCCGGCUAACUACGUG